RNAcentral lists this RNase P RNA (401 nucleotides) under Burkholderiales bacterium RIFCSPHIGHO2_12_FULL_67_38. RNAcentral's name for it is "RNase P RNA component class A". It matches the Rfam family "Bacterial RNase P class A". From Rfam's summary of the family: Ribonuclease P (RNase P) is a ubiquitous endoribonuclease, found in archaea, bacteria and eukarya as well as chloroplasts and mitochondria. Its best characterised activity is the generation of mature 5'-ends of tRNAs by cleaving the 5'-leader elements of precursor-tRNAs. Cellular RNase Ps are ribonucleoproteins. RNAcentral also lists the same sequence under 2 other names. Lineage: Bacteria; Pseudomonadati; Pseudomonadota; Betaproteobacteria; Burkholderiales. The record is from RNAcentral.
GAAGCGCGCCAGGCCGUCGCUGGCACAGCCCGCAAGGGAACCCGAAAGGGAGUGCUGGAGGAACGUCCGGACUGCACAGGACAGCGUAGGAGGUAACACCUCUCCACCGACAAGCCAGAAGGGUUCGCCUGGAUGGCCCUAAGGUGAGGAUCAGAGCAACAGAGACGAGUCACCUGUGGUGCCGCAGCGUAGGCGAAAGCCGAAGCUACGAGCAACCAAGGUGGGUGAAACGGGCAAUCUCUACGCGCAGCAAUACCAAAUAGGCCAGCGUUGACGUGGUUCCGCGGAGCUGGCGGGUAGGUAGCACCGAGCCGAUUGGGCGACCAUCGGCCCAGAUGAAUGGCGGUCACACCGGGGGAAACCCCGGUGCACAGAAUCCGGCGUAACGGCGCGCUUCACAC